CAGCAGCCACGGUAAUACGUAGGGUGCAAGCGUUAAUCGGAAUUACUGGGCGUAAAGCGUGCGCAGGCGGUUUGUUAAGACAGAUGUGAAAUCCCCGGGCUUAACCUGGGAACUGCAUUUGUGACUGGCAAGCUAGAGUAUGGCAGAGGGGGGUGGAAUUCCGCGUGUAGCAGUGAGAUGCGUAGAUAUGCGGAGGAACACCGAUGGCGAAGGCAGCCCCCUGGGCCAAUACUGACGCUCAUGCACGAAAGCGUGGGGAGCAAACAGGAUUAGAUACCCCUGUAGUCCCUGUCUCUUAUAC
RNAcentral lists this ribosomal RNA (301 nucleotides) under uncultured bacterium. RNAcentral describes it as "partial 16S ribosomal RNA". It matches the Rfam family "Bacterial small subunit ribosomal RNA", at positions 509 to 807 of the family's 1533-position model. The record is from RNAcentral.